Molecule: non-coding RNA, 293 nt
Filed under: Danio rerio (zebrafish)
Lineage: Eukaryota; Metazoa; Chordata; Actinopteri; Cypriniformes; Danionidae
Description: Eukaryotic small subunit ribosomal RNA
Rfam family: Eukaryotic small subunit ribosomal RNA
Source: Rfam by way of RNAcentral
UUCCUGGUUGAUCCUGCCAGUAAUAUAUGCUUGUUUCAAAGAUUAAGCCAUGCAAGUCUAAGUGCACACAGUAGGUACAGUGAAACUGCAAAUGGCUCAAUAAAUCAGUUAUGGUUCCUUUGAUUGCUCCAAGAUUUAAAACCCAUGCGGCUGCAUGGAUGGAACAAAGGGCUCAUGCAUAUUAUCUUUUAAAGGCCCUGGUGGUGUGCUGAGAAGAUGAUCAAACUCAGUCAUUUAGAGGAAGUAGAAGUCGUAACAAGGUUUUUGUAGGUGAACCUGCGGAAGGAUCAUUA